RNAcentral lists this unclassified non-coding RNA (288 nucleotides) under Xylodon verecundus. Its description in RNAcentral is "Palifer verecundus partial contains 5.8S ribosomal RNA, internal transcribed spacer 2, and large subunit ribosomal RNA". Lineage: Eukaryota; Fungi; Basidiomycota; Agaricomycetes; Hymenochaetales; Schizoporaceae. The record is from RNAcentral.
CGCACCUUGCGCUCCUUGGUAUUCCGAGGAGCAUGCCUGUUUGAGUGUCGUGAAAUCAUCAACUCCCUAUUGCUUUUGUAAUUAGGAGCGUGGACUUGGAGACUGCCGGCCCUAAAGCGGUUCUGGCUUCUCUUGAAUGCAUUAGCUGAUAAAUGACUUGCAGCAUAUAUGCGGUGUGAUAAUGUCUUCACUGUGUAGCUCAUGUCGCAAUUGGCUUCUAACUGUUCUAACGUGAACAACUCUUGAUAACUAGACCUCAAAUCAGGUAGGACUACCCGCUGAACUUAA